This 594-nucleotide ribosomal RNA is filed under the name fungal endophyte sp. P1907B. Its description in RNAcentral is "eukaryotic LSU rRNA". The stretch from base 237 to 390 matches the Rfam family "5.8S ribosomal RNA". Lineage: Eukaryota; Fungi. The record is from RNAcentral.
GGAGGGAUCAUUACAGAGUUUUCUAAACUCCCAACCCUAUGUGAACUUACCUUUGUUGCUUCGGCGGCGGAGGCUACCCUAUAGGGGAUACCACAUAGUGGUUACCCUGUAGUCCCAGGUGCUAGAUCGUGCUCAACGUCUUAUCGUCUACGACUAGCUACCCGGUGGCCCUCCCCGCCGGCGGCCAACUAAACUCUGUUUUUAUGGCAUUCUGAAUUAUAAACUUAAUAAGUUAAAACUUUCAACAACGGAUCUCUUGGUUCUGGCAUCGAUGAAGAACGCAGCGAAAUGCGAUAAGUAAUGUGAAUUGCAGAAUUCAGUGAAUCAUCGAAUCUUUGAACGCACAUUGCGCCCAUUAGCAUUCUAGUGGGCAUGCCUGUUCGAGCGUCAUUUCACCACUUAAGCCCUGUUGCUUAGCGUUGGGAGCCUACGGCACUGCCCGUAGCUCCCUAAAGUGAUUGGCGGAGUUGGUUCUCACUCUAGGCGUAGUAAAUCUAUCUCGCCUCUGUAGUGGUUCCGGCCCCUGCCGUGAAACCCCCUAUAUCAAAGGUUGACCUCGGAUCAGGUAGGAAUACCCGCUGAACUUAAGCAUAU